RNAcentral lists this ribosomal RNA (264 nucleotides) under uncultured bacterium. RNAcentral describes it as "partial 16S ribosomal RNA". It matches the Rfam family "Bacterial small subunit ribosomal RNA", at positions 793 to 1055 of the family's 1533-position model. The record is from RNAcentral.
GUCCACGCCGUAAACGAUGUCGACUAGCCGUUGGAAUCCUUGAGAUCUUAGUGGCGCAGCUAACGCAUUAAGUCGACCGCCUGGGGAGUACGGCCGCAAGGUUAAAACUCAAAUGAAUUGACGGGGGGCCCGCACAAGCGGUGGAGCAUGUGGUUUAAUUCGAAGCAACGCGAAGAACCUUACCUGGCCUUGACAUGCUGAGAACUUUCCAGAGAUGGAUUGGUGCCUUCGGGAACUCAGACACAGGUGCUGCAUGGCUGUCGU